RNAcentral lists this ribosomal RNA (468 nucleotides) under uncultured bacterium. RNAcentral describes it as "partial 16S ribosomal RNA". It matches the Rfam family "Bacterial small subunit ribosomal RNA", at positions 28 to 507 of the family's 1533-position model. The record is from RNAcentral.
GACGAACGCUGGCGGCGUGCUUAACACAUGCAAGUCGAACGGAAAGGCCCUGCUUUUGUGGGGUGCUCGAGUGGCGAACGGGUGAGUAACACGUGAGUAACCUGCCCUUGACUUUGGGAUAACUUCAGGAAACUGGGGCUAAUACCGGAUAGGAGCUCCUGCUGCAUGGUGGGGGUUGGAAAGUUUCGGCGGUUGGGGGUGGACUCGCGGCUUAUCAGCUUGUUGGUGGGGUAGUGGCUUACCAAGGCUUUGACGGGUAGCCGGCCUGAGAGGGUGACCGGCCACAUUGGGACUGAGAUGCGGCCCAGACUCCUACGGGAGGCAGAAGUGGAGAAUAUUGCACAAUGGGCGGAAGCCUGAUGCAGCAACGCCGCGUGCGGGAUGACGGCCUUCGGGUUGUAAACCGCUUUCGCCUGUGACGAAGCGUGAGUGACGGUAAUGGGUAAAGAAGCACCGGCUAACUACGUG